This 325-nucleotide ribosomal RNA is filed under the name uncultured eukaryote. RNAcentral describes it as "partial 18S ribosomal RNA". It matches the Rfam family "Eukaryotic small subunit ribosomal RNA", at positions 1470 to 1796 of the family's 1831-position model. The record is from RNAcentral.
CCCUUAGACGUUCUGGGCCGCACGCGCGCUACACUGACCAGUGCAACAAGCAUCCGUCCUUGGCCGACAGGCUCGGGCAAUCUUUGAACGCUGGUCGUGAUGGGGAUAGACUUUUGCAAUUUUUGGUCUUCAACGAGGAAUUCCUAGUAAACGCAAGUCAUCAACUUGCAUUGAUUACGUCCCUGCCCUUUGUACACACCGCCCGUCGCACCUACCGAUUGAGUGAUCCGGUGAAUAAUUCGGACUGCAGCAGUGUUCAGUUCCUGAACGUUGCAGCGGAAAGUUUAGUGAACCUUAUCACUUAGAGGAAGGAGAAGUCGUAACA